UACGAAGGGGGGCUAGCGUUGCUCGGAAUUACUGGGCGUAAAGCGCACGUAGGCGGAUCUUUAAGUCAGGGGGUGAAAUCCUGGAGCUCAACUCCAGAACUGCCUUUGAUACUGAGGACCUUGAGUUCGGGAGAGGUGAGUGGAACUGCGAGUGUAGAGGUGAAAUUCGUAGAUAUUCGCAAGAACACCAGUGGCGAAGGCGGCUCACUGGCCCGAUAC
RNAcentral lists this ribosomal RNA (219 nucleotides) under uncultured bacterium. RNAcentral describes it as "partial 16S ribosomal RNA". It matches the Rfam family "Bacterial small subunit ribosomal RNA", at positions 524 to 740 of the family's 1533-position model. The record is from RNAcentral.